RNAcentral lists this ribosomal RNA (468 nucleotides) under uncultured bacterium. Its description in RNAcentral is "partial 16S ribosomal RNA". It matches the Rfam family "Bacterial small subunit ribosomal RNA", at positions 28 to 507 of the family's 1533-position model. The record is from RNAcentral.
GAUGAACGCUGGCGGCGUGCUUAACACAUGCAAGUCGAACGGAAAGGCCGAAGCUUGCUUCGGUACUCGAGUGGCGAACGGGUGAGUAACACGUGGGUGAUCUGCCCUGUACUUCGGGAUAAGCUUUGGAAACUGGGUCUAAUACCGGAUAUGACGAUCUCUUGGAUGGGGUUGUGGAAAGCUUUUGCGGUAUGGGAUGAGCUCGCGGCCUAUCAGCUUGUUGGUGGGGUAAUGGCCUACCAAGGCGUCGACGGGUAGCCGGCCUGAGAGGGUGUACGGCCACAUUGGGACUGAGAGACGGCCCAGACUCCUACGGGAGGCAGCAGUGGGGAAUAUUGCACAAUGGGCGCAAGCCUGAUGCAGCGACGCCGCGUGGGGGAUGACGGCCUUCGGGUUGUAAACUCCUUUCGCAAUCGACGAAGCCUUUUGGUGACGGUAGGUUGAGAAGAAGCACCGGCUAACUACGUG